Molecule: ribosomal RNA, 274 nt
Filed under: uncultured bacterium
Lineage: Bacteria
Description: partial 16S ribosomal RNA
Rfam family: Bacterial small subunit ribosomal RNA
Source: RNAcentral
UAGAUACCCGGGUAGUCCACGCCGUAAACGAUGGACACUAGUUGUUGGAAUUAUUCAGUGACUAAGCGAAAGUGAUAAGUGUCCCACCUGGGGAGUACGAUCGCAAGAUUGAAACUCAAAGGAAUUGACGGGGGCCCGCACAAGCGGUGGAGCAUGUGGUUUAAUUCGAUGAUACGCGAGGAACCUUACCAGGGCUUAAAUGUAAGAUGCAUUAGUUAGAGAUAGCUAUUUCUUCGGACUUCUUACAAGGUGCUGCAUGGCCGUCGUCAGAAGG